GGGGAAAGAGGCUCUAUACUCUUCCAGUCCCUAGGGUUCUGUAGCCUCUCACCUUCCUGCCAUCCCUGAUCCUUGCCUACUCUGUAUUUAUGACCAAGUUCGUUGUUUAUAUGGAUGACUGAGAGGCCCUGCACUCUAACUUAGGCCUGUAGCACCACUUUCCUUUGGUCCUUUUGUUCCUUGCCCCUGUCCAGCCCUGGACAAUUGGCUCUACCUCAUCAACUUUAUAGCAGAAUCAGUGAAAAUAAAAAUCCCUCAGUAAUCUCACUAGUUAUGAGUAUAUUGACCUGGGCUAAGAUUGGGGGCCAUCAGCUUGUGUGAGGUGGGUAUUAUGCUUGGUGUUGGUCAUAAUAUGCCUGUAGCCAUAAUUAGGACAUGGUUCAUGGAAAUCUGACUCCAUUCAGCAAAGAGUUUCUAAGAGCUUUUCUAUAUUAGAUAUUAAAGUAGGCCUACUUGUAAGGGUUCCUUCUGAGACUUUUAGAGGAGAAACAACCAAAUCAGAGAAGACAGAAGAGACCAUGUAGUCUAACCAGGAAUUAUCAGAGGGUUGUGGGAGCUCAGAUAACACUUGUCCAAGGCAUUUCAGAAGACUUCUGAAGAGUUGACAUAUCUGAGUACUGAAGAUGAGCUCUUGUUAGCAAGCCUAAAGAAAGUGAAUACAAAGAUUGUGCAGGGCAGGCUACUGAUAUGUGACUUUCCAGAGGUGGAUGUGGUUAACUAUGGCAGGAACUUACGGUGUUUGCUUGAAUUUGCUUCUGAGAGCAAAAUUGGGGACAUUAGAAAAAAAACUACCUAUUUGGUAUUUUGUGAUUAAGGGCCCCGGAUACUUAGCCAGUUGUCCUUUAAAGAACUGGUGCUGGGCUGUCUAGGCAGCUCCUCCUAUACCGCCAGGCAGCUUGAGUGAGCUACCACCCCGGAAAUGACGUGCUGCCCUGCUGGCGGUGCGGAAGUGGAGAUGGCGGAGCUGUACGUGAAGCCCGGCAACAAGGAACGCGGCUGGAACGACCCGCCACAAUUCUCCUACGGGCUGCAGACUCAGACUGGUGGAACCAAACGCACUCCCCUUACUAAGAGGGUUGCGGCCCCACAGGAUGGAUCCCCUAGAGCCCCAGAAACUUCUGGACCACCUCCAGUGGAUCAUCCACCUCCUUCAAGUAAGGCUUCCAGGCCUCCACCCAUGGGGAGCUGUCCUGCUUCUGGUGUGGACCCCCCAAGUUCUCCAGUCAUUGAGUCUGAGACUCUAAUAGAAGACGUGCUAAGACCUCUGGAACAGGCAUUGGAGGAUUGCCGUGGUCACACGAAGGUAGGCCCUGGCACUUCAGGGGGCGGAAAGGACUCCUAUCCAAUCAAAUAUGGUUCUUAAAGACAGAUCUUUCAAUGGCCUCUUAAGGACUCUUAGUCUUUCCAGGAAAAUGGAUACUGAUGUCAGAGGAUUUCUCAGAACUUUUGAAGGACCAGCCAGUAAUAGAGGCCUUGUGGAGAUAUCUUUAACUCCUAUUAGUGAGUUAUAAGCUUACUUUUUUAACAAAGCCAUUCAGAAUUUACUGUCAAUUUUGUACCCAGUCUGGGAGAAACAAACAAGCUUUGUAUGAAGGUUCUUCAGCUCUCUAGAGGCAAAGGCUUGAAGAAAAAGGAAGCAGCAUGGUACUCUUCUUCAAAUUUUCAAAUGUUAUUUGAACAGUAACGGUAAGACUCUGAGGAGCUGAGGAGCACUGAAAAUUUAAAAUUCUUGUCAUGUGUAUCUUUUGUCUUGGGAGGACAUUGGCUUUAUCAUAUUUGUAGUGGAGGGCCUCUAAGCCUUAGGUAAAGAAAUAUGAACUCUAAUGAUUAAGGCUCAAACCCCUGAGCCAGAAGUGAGCUCAUGCCAGUAGCACUGAGCUGGAUGGGCUUUUGUUUCAGAAGCAGGUAUGUGAUGAUAUCAGCCGACGCUUGGCACUGCUUCACGAACAGUGGGAUGGAGGGAAGUUGUCAGUACCUGUAAAGAAGAGGAUGGCACUGCUGGUACAAGCCCUGUUUCUCUUCAGAACUUUUACACCACCAGUGGGAUACAGCAGAUGACAUUCAUCGAUCACUCAUGGUUGACCAUGUGACUGAGGUCAGUCAGUGGAUGGUGGGAGUUAAAAGAUUAAUUGCAGAAAA
Rattus norvegicus (Norway rat) is the source of this 2139-nucleotide non-coding RNA. The record is from RefSeq and is a predicted model, not a curated record. NCBI's taxonomy places the organism in Eukaryota, Metazoa, Chordata, Mammalia, Rodentia, Muridae.